UGGGGAAUAUUGGACAAUGGGGGGAACCCUGAUCCAGCCAUGUCGCGUGUGUGAAGAAGGCCUUAUGGUUGUAAAGCACUUUAAGCGAGGAGGAGGGUACUGGUAUUAAUACUACCAGGUACUGGACGUUACUCGCAGAAUAAGCACCGGCUAACUCUGUGCCAGCAGCCGCGGUAAUACAGAGGGUGCAAGCGUUAAUCGGAAUUACUGGGCGUAAAGCGCGCGUAGGUGGUUCGUUAAGUUGAAUGUGAAAGCCCCGGGCUCAACCUGGGAACUGCAUCCAAAACUGGCGAGCUAGAGUAGGGCAGAGGGUGGUGGAAUUUCCUGUGUAGCGGUGAAAUGCGUAGAUAUAGGAAGGAACACCAGUGGCGAAGGCGACCACCUGGGCUCAUACUGACACUGAGGUGCGAAAGCGUGGGGAGCAAACAGG
Molecule: ribosomal RNA, 430 nt
Filed under: Pseudomonadota bacterium
Lineage: Bacteria; Pseudomonadati; Pseudomonadota
Description: Proteobacteria bacterium partial 16S ribosomal RNA
Rfam family: Bacterial small subunit ribosomal RNA
Source: RNAcentral